UUGCCUAUGGAGGGAUGACCCGGCUCAGGUUGGAAAUGGAGCAGGUCAAAACUCCCAUGCUGAUCAGUGGUGGGAUUGCACCUGUGAAUAGAUGCUGCACUCCAGCCUGGGCAACAUAGCAACGCUCCAUCUUU
This 134-nucleotide unclassified non-coding RNA is filed under the name Homo sapiens (human). RNAcentral describes it as "misc_RNA-SRP_RNA-related". It matches the Rfam family "Metazoan signal recognition particle RNA", at positions 165 to 299 of the family's 299-position model. Rfam says of the family: The signal recognition particle (SRP) is a universally conserved ribonucleoprotein. It is involved in the co-translational targeting of proteins to membranes. Lineage: Eukaryota; Metazoa; Chordata; Mammalia; Primates; Hominidae. The record is from RNAcentral.